This 464-nucleotide ribosomal RNA is filed under the name uncultured bacterium. RNAcentral describes it as "bacterial SSU rRNA". It matches the Rfam family "Bacterial small subunit ribosomal RNA", at positions 28 to 477 of the family's 1533-position model. The record is from RNAcentral.
GACGAACGCUGGCGGCGUGCCUAAUACAUGCAAGUCGAGCGGACCAAAGGGAGCUUGCUCCUGGAGGUUAGCGGCGAACGGGUGAGUAACACGUGGGCAACCUGCCUGUAAGACUGGGAUAACAUCGAGAAAUCGGUGCUAAUACCGGAUAAUAAAAAGAACUGCAUGGUUCUUUUUGAAAGAUGGUUUCGGCUAUCACUUACAGAUGGGCCGCGGCGCAUUAGCUAGUUGGUGGGGUAACGGCUCACCAAGGCGACGAUGCGUAGCCGACCUGAGAGGGUGAUCGGCCACACUGGGACUGAGACACGGCCCAGACUCCUACGGGAGGCAGCAGUAGGGAAUCUUCCGCAAUGGACGAAAGUCUGACGGAGCAACGCCGCGUGAGUGAUGAAGGUUUUCGGAUCGUAAAACUCUGUUGUUAGGGAAGAACAAGUGCCGUUCGAAAGGGCGGCACCUUGACGGUA